CUGGCGGCAGGCCUAACACAUGCAAGUCGAGCGCACUCUUCGGAGUGAGCGGCGGACGGGUUAGUAACGCGUGGGAACAUACCCUUCUCUACGGAAUAGCCUCGGGAAACUGAGAGUAAUACCGUAUACGCCCUUCGGGGGAAAGAUUUAUCGGAGAUGGAUUGGCCCGCGUUAGAUUAGAUAGUUGGUGGGGUAAUGGCCUACCAAGUCUACGAUCUAUAGCUGGUUUGAGAGGAUGAUCAGCAACACUGGGACUGAGACACGGCCCAGACUCCUACGGGAGGCAGCAGUGGGGAAUCUUAGACAAUGGGCGCAAGCCUGAUCUAGCCAUGCCGCGUGAGUGACGAAGGCCUUAGGGUCGUAAAGCUCUUUCGCCAGGGAUGAUAAUGACAGUACCUGGUAAAGAAACCCCGGCUAACUCCGUGCCAGCAGCCGCGGUAAUACGGAGGGGGUUAGCGUUGUUCGGAAUUACUGGGCGUAAAGCGUACGUAGGCGGAUUGGAAAGUAUGGGGUGAAAUCCCAGGGCUCAACCCUGGAACUGCCCUGUAAACUAUCAGUCUAGAGUUCGAGAGAGGUGAGUGGAAUUCCAAGUGUAGAGGUGAAAUUCGUAGAUAUUUGGAGGAA
This 624-nucleotide ribosomal RNA is filed under the name uncultured marine bacterium. Its description in RNAcentral is "bacterial SSU rRNA". It matches the Rfam family "Bacterial small subunit ribosomal RNA", at positions 36 to 706 of the family's 1533-position model. The record is from RNAcentral.